Molecule: ribosomal RNA, 426 nt
Filed under: uncultured bacterium
Lineage: Bacteria
Description: partial 16S ribosomal RNA
Rfam family: Bacterial small subunit ribosomal RNA
Source: RNAcentral
GUGAGGAAUUUUCCGCAAUGGGCGAAAGCCUGACGGAGCAAUGCCGCGUGAAGGAUGAAGGCCUAUGGGUUGUAAACUUCUUUUCUCAGAAAAGAAUUAUGACGGUAUCUGAGGAAUAAGCAUCGGCUAACUCUGUGCCAGCAGCCGCGGUAAGACAGAGGAUGCAAGCGUUAUCCGGAAUGAUUGGGCGUAAAGCGUCUGUAGGUUGUUUAAAAAGUAUUCUGUCAAAGAUUAGGGCUUAACCCUAGAUAGGCAGAAUAAACUUUUAAGCUAGAGUUUGGUAGAGGCAGAGGGAAUUCCCGGUGGAGCGGUGAAAUGCGUGGAUAUCGGGAGGAACACCAAAGGCGAAGGCACUCUGCUGGGCCAAUACUAACACUGAGAGACGAAAGCGAGGGGAGCAAAUGGGAUUAGAAACCCGGGUAGUCC